Molecule: ribosomal RNA, 208 nt
Filed under: uncultured Pseudomonadota bacterium
Lineage: Bacteria; Pseudomonadati; Pseudomonadota
Description: uncultured proteobacterium partial 16S ribosomal RNA
Rfam family: Bacterial small subunit ribosomal RNA
Source: RNAcentral
CGUGUAGGCGGCGUGAUAAGUCAGAUGUGAAAGCCCUGGGCUCAACCCAGGAAGUGCAUUUGAAACUGUCUUGCUUGAGUACGGGAGAGGGAAGAGGAAUUCCUGGUGUAGAGGUGAAAUUCGUAGAUAUCAGGAGGAACACCGGUGGCGAAGGCGACUUCCUGGCCCGAUACUGACGCUGAGACGCGAGAGCGUGGGGAGCAAACAG